AGUUCGUUGGUGUAAUGGCUAACACCUCGGAUUGUCUAUCCGAAGCUAUGGGUUCGAUUCCCGUACGAACUG
RNAcentral lists this transfer RNA (72 nucleotides) under Niastella sp. HX-2-15. RNAcentral describes it as "tRNA-Asp". It matches the Rfam family "tRNA". Rfam says of the family: Transfer RNA (tRNA) molecules are approximately 80 nucleotides in length. The record is from RNAcentral. Lineage: Bacteria; Pseudomonadati; Bacteroidota; Chitinophagia; Chitinophagales; Chitinophagaceae.